AUGAACGCUGGCGGCGUGCCUAAUCCAUGCAAGUUGAGCGAACGGACGAGAAGCUUGCUUCUCUGAUGUUAGCGGCGGACGGGUGAGUAACACGUGGAUAACCUACCUAUAAGACUGGGAUAACUUCGGGAAACCGGAGCUAAUACCGGAUAAUAUUUUGAACCGCAUGGUUCAAAAGUGAAAGACGGUCUUGCUGUCACUUAUAGAUGGAUCCGCGCUGCAUUAGCUAGUUGGUAAGGUAACGGCUUACCAAGGCAACGAUGCAUGGCCGACCUGAGAGGGUGAUCGGCCACACUGGAACUGAGACACGGUCCAGACUCCUACGGGAGGCAGCAGUAGGGAAUCUUCCGCAAUGGGCGAAAGCCUGACGGAGCAACGCCGCGUGAGUGAUGAAGGUCUUCGGAUCGUAAAACUCUGUUAUUAGGGAAGAACAUAUGUGUAAGUAACUGUGCACAUCUUGACGGUACCUAAUCAGAAAGCCACGGCUAACUACGUG
Molecule: ribosomal RNA, 496 nt
Filed under: uncultured bacterium
Lineage: Bacteria
Description: partial 16S ribosomal RNA
Rfam family: Bacterial small subunit ribosomal RNA
Source: RNAcentral